RNAcentral lists this ribosomal RNA (497 nucleotides) under uncultured bacterium. RNAcentral describes it as "partial 16S ribosomal RNA". It matches the Rfam family "Bacterial small subunit ribosomal RNA", at positions 28 to 507 of the family's 1533-position model. The record is from RNAcentral.
GACGAACGCUGGCGGCGUGCCUAAUACAUGCAAGUUGAGCGAUGAAGAUUGGUGCUUGCACCAAUUUGAAGAGCAGCGAACGGGUGAGUAACGCGUGGGGAAUCUGCCUUUGAGCGGGGGACAACAUUUGGAAACGAAUGCUAAUACCGCAUAACAACUUUAAACAUAAGUUUUAAGUUUGAAAGAUGCAAUUGCAUCACUCAAAGAUGAUCCCGCGUUGUAUUAGCUAGUUGGUGAGGUAAAGGCUCACCAAGGCGAUGAUACAUAGCCGACCUGAGAGGGUGAUCGGCCACAUUGGGACUGAGACACGGCCCAAACGCCUGCGGGAGGCAGCAGUAGGGAAUCUUCGGCAAUGGACGAAAGUCUGACCGAGCAACGCCGCGUGAGUGAAGAAGGUUUUCGGAUCGUAAAACUCUGUUGGUAGAGAAGAACGUUGGUGAGAGUGGAAAGCUCAUCAAGUGACGGUAACUACCCAGAAAGGGACGGCUAACUACGUG